RNAcentral lists this ribosomal RNA (1346 nucleotides) under uncultured bacterium. RNAcentral's name for it is "partial 16S ribosomal RNA". It matches the Rfam family "Bacterial small subunit ribosomal RNA", at positions 28 to 1381 of the family's 1533-position model. The record is from RNAcentral.
GACGAACUUUGGCGGCGUGCUUAACACAUGCAAGUCGAACGGAAAGGCCCUGCUUUUGUGGGGUGCUCGAGUGGCGAACGGGUGAGUAACACGUGAGUAACCUGCCCUUGACUUUGGGAUAACUUCAGGAAACUGGGGCUAAUACCGGAUAGGAGCUCCUGCUGCAUGGUGGGGGUUGGAAAGUUUCGGCGGUUGGGGAUGGACUCGCGGCUUAUCAGCUUGUUGGUGGGGUAGUGGCUUACCAAGGCUUUGACGGGUAGCCGGCCUGAGAGGGUGACCGGCCACAUUGGGACUGAGAUACGGCCCAGACUCCUACGGGAGGCAGCAGUGGGGAAUAUUGCACAAUGGGCGGAAGCCUGAUGCAGCAACGCCGCGUGCGAGAUGGCGGCCUUCGGGUUGUAAACCGCUUUCGCCUGUGACGAAGCGUGAGUGACGGUAAUGGGUAAAGAAGCACCGGCUAACUACGUGCCAGCAGCCGCGGUGAUACGUAGGGUGCGAGCGUUGUCCGGAUUUAUUGGGCGUAAAGGGCUCGUAGGUGGUUGAUCGCGUCGGAAGUGUAAUCUUGGGGCUUAACCCUGAGCGUGCUUUCGAUACGGGUUGACUUGAGGAAGGUAGGGGAGAAUGGAAUUCCUGGUGGAGCGGUGGAAUGCGCAGAUAUCAGGAGGAACACCAGUGGCGAAGGCGGUUCUCUGGGCCUUUCCUGACGCUGAGGAGCGAAAGCGUGGGGAGCGAACAGGCUUAGAUACCCUGGUAGUCCACGCUGUAAACGGUGGGUACUAGGUGUGGGGUCCAUUCCACGGGUUCCGUGCCGUAGCUAACGCUUUAAGUACCCCGCCUGGGGAGUACGGCCGCAAGGCUAAAACUCAAAGGAAUUGACGGGGCCCCGCACAAGCGGCGGAGCAUGCGGAUUAAUUCGAUGCAACGCGUAGAACCUUACCUGGGUUUGACAUGGAUCGGGAGUGCUCAGAGAUGGGUGUGCCUCUUUUGGGGUCGGUUCACAGGUGGUGCAUGGCUGUCGUCAGCUCGUGUCGUGAGAUGUUGGGUUAAGUCCCGCAACGAGCGCAACCCUUGUUCACUGUUGCCAGCACGUUAUGGUGGGGACUCAGUGGAGACCGCCGGGGUCAACUCGGAGGAAGGUGGGGAUGACGUCAAGUCACCAUGCCCCUUAUGUCCAGGGCUUCACGCAUGCUACAAUGGCUGGUACAGAGAGUGGCGAGCCUGUGAGGGUGAGCGAAUCUCGGAAAGCCGGUCUCAGUUCGGAUUGGGGUCUGCAACUCGACCUCAUGAAGUCGGAGUCGCUAGUAAUCGCAGAUCAGCAACGCUGCGGUGAAUACGUUCCCGGGGCU